CCCUUAGAUGUUCUGGGCCGCACGCGCGCUACACUGAUGCAUUCAACGAGCCUAUCCUUGACCGACAGGUCCGGGUAAUCUUUGAAUCUGCAUCGUGACGGGGAUAGAUUAUUGCAAUUAUUAAUCUUCAACGAGGAAUGCCUAGUAGGCGCAAGUCAUCAGCUUGCGUCGAUUACGUCCCUGCCCUUUGUACACACCGCCCGUCGCUCCUACCGAUUGAAUGAUCCGAUGAAUACCAUGGAUUGAGAGUACGAAUAGGUUCGCUUAUUUCUGCUGCUCGAGAAGUGGAGUAAAUCUUAUCAUUUAGAGGAAGGAGAAGUCGUAACA
This 327-nucleotide ribosomal RNA is filed under the name uncultured eukaryote. Its description in RNAcentral is "partial 18S ribosomal RNA". It matches the Rfam family "Eukaryotic small subunit ribosomal RNA", at positions 1470 to 1796 of the family's 1831-position model. The record is from RNAcentral.